UGGCUCAGAGGUUAAAGCAUCUGCCUCCAAUGCAGGAAACCCAGGUUCAAUCCCUGG
Molecule: transfer RNA, 57 nt
Filed under: Ovis aries (sheep)
Lineage: Eukaryota; Metazoa; Chordata; Mammalia; Artiodactyla; Bovidae
Rfam family: tRNA
About the family: Transfer RNA (tRNA) molecules are approximately 80 nucleotides in length. Their secondary structure includes four short double-helical elements and three loops (D, anti-codon, and T loops). Further hydrogen bonds mediate the characteristic L-shaped molecular structure. tRNAs have two regions of fundamental functional importance: the anti-codon, which is responsible for specific mRNA codon recognition, and the 3' end, to which the tRNAs corresponding amino acid is attached (by aminoacyl-tRNA synthetases). tRNAs cope with the degeneracy of the genetic code in two manners: having more than one tRNA (with a specific anti-codon) for a particular amino acid; and 'wobble' base-pairing, i.e. permitting non-standard base-pairing at the 3rd anti-codon position.
Source: Rfam by way of RNAcentral